GAUGGACGCUGGCGGCGUGCUUAACACAUGCAAGUCGAACGGUGAAGGCGGAGCUUGCUCUGCUGGAUCAGUGGCGAACGGGUGAGUAACACGUGAGCAAUCUGCCCCUGACUCUGGGAUAAGCGCUGGAAACGGCGUCUAAUACUGGAUACGAGCUGCGAAGGCAUCUUCAGCAGCUGGAAAGAACUUCGGUCAGGGAUGAGCUCGCGGCCUAUCAGCUUGUUGGUGAGGUAACGGCUCACCAAGGCGUCGACGGGUAGCCGGCCUGAGAGGGUGACCGGCCACACUGGGACUGAGACACGGCCCAGACUCCUACGGGAGGCAGCAGUGGGGAAUAUUGCACAAUGGGCGAAAGCCUGAUGCAGCAACGCCGCGUGAGGGACGACGGCCUUCGGGUUGUAAACCUCUUUUAGCAGGGAAGAAGCGAAAAUGACGGUACCUGCAGAAAAAGCGCCGGCUAACUACGUG
Molecule: ribosomal RNA, 468 nt
Filed under: uncultured bacterium
Lineage: Bacteria
Description: partial 16S ribosomal RNA
Rfam family: Bacterial small subunit ribosomal RNA
Source: RNAcentral